AUCUGUAUAAAACCUUACUGAUUUUGCAUUUUUGCAAAAGUAGAUCAUUUGUUUGAACUUUGCAAGAUUAAGCUGUUAGAGUGGAGUAUACCAUUUAUUUUGGUAAGAAAAAAGAAAAAUAUAUAUUAUAUCGAUCUUGGUCAAGUGUGUUUGCUACUGUAUGAGUAUCAUAUCCGAUCUUUAUUAUUUUAUUUUUUCUAAAAUGUGACAUGCAUUUACACGUGCAGUUUAC
This 232-nucleotide long non-coding RNA is filed under the name Ananas comosus (pineapple). RNAcentral describes it as "long non-coding RNA (ACOM_LNC040264)". Lineage: Eukaryota; Viridiplantae; Streptophyta; Magnoliopsida; Poales; Bromeliaceae. The record is from RNAcentral.